CACUGCCGAGAAAAGCCUCUAGAUAGAAAAUAGGUGCCCGUACCGCAAACCGACACAGGUAGUCAAGAUGAGAAUUCUAAGGUGAGCGAGCGAACUCUCGUUAAGGAACUCGGCAAAAUGACCCCGUAACUUCGGGAGAAGGGGUGCUCUUUAGGGUUAACGCCCAGAAGAGCCGCAGUGAAUAGGCCCAAGCGACUGUUUAUCAAAAACACAGGUCUCUGCUAAACCGUAAGGUGAUGUAUAGGGGCUGACGCCUGCCCGGUGCUGGAAGGUUAAGAGGAGUGGUUAGCUUCUGCGAAGCUACGAAUCGAAGCCCCAGUAAACGGCGGCCGUAACUAUAACGGUCCUAAGGUAGCGAAAUUCCUUGUCGGGUAAGUUCCGACCCGCACGAAAGGCGUAACGAUUUGGGCACUGUCUCAACGAGAGACUCGGUGAAAUCAUAGUACCUGUGAAGAUGCAGGUUACCCGCGACAGGACGGAAAGACCCCGUGGAGCUUUACUGUAGCCUGAUAUUGAAAUUCGGCACAGCUUGUACAGGAUAGGUAGGAGCCUUUGAAACGUGAGCGCUAGCUUACGUGGAGGCGCUGGUGGGAUACUACCCUAGCUGUGUUGGCUUUCUAACCCGCACCACUUAUCGUGGUGGGAGACAGUGUCAGGCGGGCAGUUUGACUGGGGCGGUCGCCUCCUAAAAGGUAACGGAGGCGCUCAAAGGUUCCCUCAGAAUGGUUGGAAAUCAUUCAUAGAGUGUAAAGGCAUAAGGGAGCUUGACUGCGAGACCUACAAGUCGAGCAGGGUCGAAAGACGGA
This 806-nucleotide ribosomal RNA is filed under the name Staphylococcus aureus. RNAcentral describes it as "partial 23S ribosomal RNA". It matches the Rfam family "Bacterial large subunit ribosomal RNA", at positions 1603 to 2410 of the family's 2925-position model. Lineage: Bacteria; Bacillati; Bacillota; Bacilli; Caryophanales; Staphylococcaceae. The record is from RNAcentral.